Molecule: ribosomal RNA, 481 nt
Filed under: Bacillus sp. R-45549
Lineage: Bacteria; Bacillati; Bacillota; Bacilli; Caryophanales; Bacillaceae
Description: bacterial SSU rRNA
Rfam family: Bacterial small subunit ribosomal RNA
Source: RNAcentral
UGAGUUUGAAUCCUGGCUCAGGAUGAACGCUGGCGGCGUGCCUAAUACAUGCAAGUCGAGCGAACUGAUUAGAAGCUUGCUUCUAUGACGUUAGCGGCGGACGGGUGAGUAACACGUGGGCAACCUGCCUGUAAGACUGGGAUAACUUCGGGAAACCGAAGCUAAUACCGGAUAGGAUCUUCUCCUUCAUGGGAGAUGAUUGAAAGAUGGUUUCGGCUAUCACUUACAGAUGGGCCCGCGGUGCAUUAGCUAGUUGGUGAGGUAACGGCUCACCAAGGCAACGAUGCAUAGCCGACCUGAGAGGGUGAUCGGCCACACUGGGACUGAGACACGGCCCAGACUCCUACGGGAGGCAGCAGUAGGGAAUCUUCCGCAAUGGACGAAAGUCUGACGGAGCAACGCCGCGUGAGUGAUGAAGGCUUUCGGGUCGUAAAACUCUGUUGUUAGGGAAGAACAAGUACGAGAGUAACUGCUCGUACCU